GUGCUCCCUUCGGCAGCAAAUAUACCAAAAUUGGCACAAUACAGAGAAAAUUAGUGUGGCCCCUGUGCAAGGACGACACGCAAAUUUGUGAAGUAUUCCGUGUAUUU
Jaculus jaculus (lesser Egyptian jerboa) is the source of this 107-nucleotide small nuclear RNA. The record is from Ensembl. Lineage: Eukaryota; Metazoa; Chordata; Mammalia; Rodentia; Dipodidae.